This is a non-coding RNA of Mycena latifolia, 90 nucleotides long. The record is from the annotation of a GenBank genome assembly. Lineage: Eukaryota; Fungi; Basidiomycota; Agaricomycetes; Agaricales; Mycenaceae.
GCAUCCUUGGUGUAGCGGUAACACACAAUCUUUAUAUGUAAAACGCUCCAUGAAUAAGAUUAGGUCUGGGGUUCGACCCCCGAGGACGCA